UACGUAGGGCGCGAGCGUUGUCCGGAAUUAUUGGGCGUAAAGAGCUCGUAGGCGGUCUGUUGCGUCCGCUGUGAAAACUCGGGGCUUAACCCCGAGCCUGCAGUGGAUACGGGCAGACUAGAGGUAGGUAGGGGAGAAUGGAAUUCCCGGUGUAGCGGUGAAAUGCGCAGAUAUCAGGAGGAACACCGGUGGCGAAGGCGGGUCUCUGGGCCGAUACUGACGCUGAGGAGCGAAAGCGUGGGGAGCGAACAGG
This 253-nucleotide ribosomal RNA is filed under the name uncultured bacterium. RNAcentral's name for it is "partial 16S ribosomal RNA". It matches the Rfam family "Bacterial small subunit ribosomal RNA", at positions 524 to 776 of the family's 1533-position model. The record is from RNAcentral.